UACGGAAGGCAGCAGUGGGGAAUAUUGCACAAUGGGCGAAAGCCUGAUGCAGCUAUGCCGCGUGUAUGAAGAAGGCCUUAGGGUUGUAAAGUACUUUCAUCGGGGAGGAAAAAACAAAACUAAUAAUUUUAUUUCUUGACGUUACCCGAAAAAGAAGCACCGGCUAACUCCGUGCCAGCAGCCGCGGUAAUACGGAGGGUGCUAGCGUUAAUCAGAAUUACUGGGCGUAAAGAGCACGUAGGUGGUUUUUUUAGGUCAGAUGUGAAAUCCCUGGGCUUAACCUGGAACUGCAUUUUGAAACUGAAAUACUAGAGUAUCGUAGAGGGAGGUAGAAUUCUAGGUGUAGCGGUGAAAUGCGUAGAUAUCUGGAGGAAUACCUGUGGCGAAAGCGGCCUCCUAAACGAAUACUGACACUGAGGUGCGAAAGCGUGGGGAGCAAACAGGGAUUAGAUACC
RNAcentral lists this ribosomal RNA (455 nucleotides) under uncultured bacterium. RNAcentral describes it as "bacterial SSU rRNA". It matches the Rfam family "Bacterial small subunit ribosomal RNA", at positions 340 to 786 of the family's 1533-position model. The record is from RNAcentral.